GAACGACCAUAGAGAAGCCUUCGAGAGAUACUGGAAGAGUUUUCUUUUCUGCUAAACAAACGUACCACCAUGGAAGUCUUUUAUAGAGAGAUAUGGUGGAUGGCUUGGAAGAGCAUGACAUUUACUGUUGUGUCAGUAUUUUCUCCUUGGACCUUGAAAAUCUAUGGUGGGGCCACGCAAACUUCUCAACAGACCGUACCGAUAUCCGCAGCCGGUCUCCAAGGUGAAGAGUCUCUAGUCGAUAGAAUAAUGUAGGUAAGGGAAGUCGGCAAAUUAGAUCCGUAACUUCGGGAUAAGGAUUGGCUCUGAAGAUUGAGAUUGUCGGGCUUGA
This 331-nucleotide ribosomal RNA is filed under the name Pessonella sp. PRA-29. Its description in RNAcentral is "partial Eukaryotic large subunit ribosomal RNA". It matches the Rfam family "Eukaryotic large subunit ribosomal RNA", at positions 1651 to 1979 of the family's 3401-position model. The record is from RNAcentral. Lineage: Eukaryota; Discosea; Flabellinia; Vannellidae.